CCUACGGGGGGCAGCAGUGAGGAAUAUUGGUCAAUGGCCGGAAGGCUGAACCAGCCAUGCCGCGUGAAGGUCAGUGCCCUAUGGGCGUUAAACUUCUUUUGUUCGGGAGCAAUAAUGGUCACGUGUGGCCAGACGAGAGUACCGUACGAAUAAGCAUCGGCUAACUCCGUGCCAGCAGCCGCGGUAAUACGGAGGAUGCGAGCGUUAUCCGGAUUUAUUGGGUUUAAAGGGUGCGUAGGCGGUCCGGAAAGUCAGCGGGAAAAGCCCGGGGCUCAACCCCGGAGAGCCGUUGAGACUGUCGGACUAGAGACGAGGAGAGGUAAGCGGAAUGCGCGGUGUAGCGGUGAAAUGCAUAGAUAUCGCGCAGAACUCCGAUUGCGAAGGCAGCGUACCGGAGCCGGACUGACACUGAGGCACGAAAGCGUGGGUAUCGAACAGGAUUAGAUACCCUAGUAGUC
Molecule: ribosomal RNA, 458 nt
Filed under: uncultured bacterium
Lineage: Bacteria
Description: partial 16S ribosomal RNA
Rfam family: Bacterial small subunit ribosomal RNA
Source: RNAcentral